AGAUAUGAAGGCAAUCUGACUGUGACAUCUGUCACCCCAUUGAUCACCAGGGUUGAAUCUGCUUAUCUUGCUAGCUAGGAAGAUGUCCCCUUCCUUCUUCUCCUUCUGCAUGUGCUUCCCUCCCAAAGCUGCAAGUUUGGUGGAACAAGAUGGCCUUCCCCAAACAGAGAUGAACCAUCCUGUCGAAGGUAUAUUAAUAGUUGUGCUCCCCUGCUAGAACCUCCAAACAAGCUCUCACGAUAGCAAUUUUACUAUUUGUAUUGAGGGAUUAAUAAUUUACAUUAAGUUCAAUUAUUGGUUGAUAAAUACAAUUUGUCAGU
Molecule: small nuclear RNA, 320 nt
Filed under: Erinaceus europaeus (western European hedgehog)
Lineage: Eukaryota; Metazoa; Chordata; Mammalia; Eulipotyphla; Erinaceidae
Description: 7SK RNA
Rfam family: 7SK RNA
About the family: 7SK was discovered as an abundant small nuclear RNA in the mid-70s but a possible function has only recently been suggested.
Source: Rfam by way of RNAcentral